AACGCGAAGAACCUUACCCAGAUUUGACAUGCAGUAGACAACGCUAGAAAUAGCGCGUUCCUUCGGGACUGCUGCACAGGUGCUGCAUGGCUGUCGUCAGCUCGUGCCGUGAGGUGUUUGGUUAAGUCCAGCAACGAGCGCAACCCUUAUCACUAGUUGCCAACACGUAAUGGUGGGAACUCUAGUGAGACUGCCUGGGUUAACCAGGAGGAAGGUGAGGAUGACGUCAAGUCCGCAUGGCCCUUAUAUUUGGGGCUACACACGUGCUACAAUGGUCGGUACAGAAGGCAGCGAAAUCGCGAGAUGGAGCAAAUCCCAAAAGCCGGCCUCAGUUCAGAUUGCAGUCUGCAACUCGACUGCAUGAAGACGGAAUUGCUAGUAAUGGCGGGUCAGCAACACCGCCGUGAAUACGUUCCCGGGCCUUGUACACACCGUAGUAC
Molecule: ribosomal RNA, 440 nt
Filed under: uncultured bacterium
Lineage: Bacteria
Description: bacterial SSU rRNA
Rfam family: Bacterial small subunit ribosomal RNA
Source: RNAcentral